This is a long non-coding RNA of Helianthus annuus (common sunflower), 257 nucleotides long. RefSeq lists it as uncharacterized. The transcript is spliced from 3 exons. The record is from RefSeq and is a predicted model, not a curated record. NCBI's taxonomy places the organism in Eukaryota, Viridiplantae, Streptophyta, Magnoliopsida, Asterales, Asteraceae.
AACCCUAGAUUUCUUCAUCUUCAAUCGCGAGUGGAAGCAACCAGUCCUUAUUAUGCGGCGUAUAAGGUUUUCCGAUUAAAUUCACGUAUUGAAGUAGAUUUUGAGCAAUUGUCAGAGGUGACGUUGUUUGCUGACACUAUUACAGUUCAACAAUUGGGAGUGAUGAUUUGGCAUACCAGAAAGGUCCUUUAGAGAGCUGAUCAUUCUUCCAAUCGAUUGCAAGCAGGUUCGUUUUCCAUAGAUUUGGUGUUAUUUUG